CCUACGGGCGGCAGCAGUGGGGAAUAUUGCACAAUGGGCGCAAGCCUGAUGCAGCCAUGCCGCGUGUGUGAAGAAGGCCUUCGGGUUGUAAAGCACUUUCAGCGGGGAGGAAGGCGGUGAGGUUAAUAACCUCAUCGAUUGACGUUACCCGCAGAAGAAGCACCGGCUAACUCCGUGCCAGCAGCCGCGGUAAUACGGAGGGUGGAAGCGUUAAUCGGAAUUACUGGGCGUAAAGCGCACGCAGGCGGUCUGUCAAGUCGGAUGUGAAAUCCCCGGGCUCAACCUGGGAACUGCAUUCGAAACUGGCAGGCUAGAGUCUUGUAGAGGGGGGUAGAAUUCCAGGUGUAGCGGUGAAAUGCGUAGAGAUCUGGAGGAAUACCGGUGGCGAAGGCGGCCCCCUGGACAAAGACUGACGCUCAGGUGCGAAAGCGUGGGGAGCAAACAGGAUUAGAUACCCGAGUAGUC
Molecule: ribosomal RNA, 465 nt
Filed under: uncultured Klebsiella sp.
Lineage: Bacteria; Pseudomonadati; Pseudomonadota; Gammaproteobacteria; Enterobacterales; Enterobacteriaceae
Description: bacterial SSU rRNA
Rfam family: Bacterial small subunit ribosomal RNA
Source: RNAcentral